This is a long non-coding RNA of Zonotrichia leucophrys gambelii, 2698 nucleotides long. RefSeq lists it as uncharacterized. The transcript is spliced from 4 exons. NCBI's taxonomy places the organism in Eukaryota, Metazoa, Chordata, Aves, Passeriformes, Passerellidae. The record is from RefSeq and is a predicted model, not a curated record.
GAGUUUUGGAGGUGUCCUGAUGAAGAAGCAGGAACAACGCUGCUGUGAAGAGCUGCGUGUGAGAAAACCACUCAGAAGGGGUUGCUGCUUCUCUUCAGGAGGAUCUUUUUCAAGAGAGAAGGAGCUCCAGGAAGCUCAGUGUGGCCAUAGCAGUAGUCUUUUUGCUCAUAAUUUUUCCCUGAAUCUGGGACACCUGUGGAUACAACACAGUUGAAGAGGCCAGCACUUCAAGGAGGGGAAGUUUGAAGCUCUUUUUUUACUCAGUCUUUAUAAAGAUUGAGGUGUGGAACUGACAGCCGUAGAGAAGAUGUUUUGAUGUGGCCAAGGAAGAAAAAUGCUGUUUCAGAAGCAAACCAAAGGUUUGCUCUGAAGUUCGAAGAAUAACGUCCAGUUCUUGUGAUAAAACAUCAUUUCCAAAGUUACUCUGCUGUCACUGACUUUGCACAACAGCCAUAUCUCAAGCCAUAUCUCUCUUUUUGCAGAGAGAAACUGACAGUUUGGUUCAAUUUCAGUUUUCUAGAGCAGCUCAAGUGCAAGAAUUGUAUUCAUAUGAAAGUAGGAAAUGGCAGUGACAUCCUCUACCGUGAUCUGGAAUUUGUCAGUAAAUGCACUAUCAAGACAGAAUUCAAGACUACUGAAAGAGACUGAAAUAGAAGCUGUAGCCAUGAAGUGAAAUAAUAAGGGAAAGAAUACAAAGAUCACUAAUCAGGAAAAUAUUAAUAAUCAAUAAAUGUCAAUAUUUUCUAUUUUGCUUUAACAUCCUGUGUUUAGACAUAGCACUUCUGGCCUGGCUAUUUGCAUAAAAUAAAAAACCCCACCCUUUUGUAAAAUAAUAAUUGAGCUGUUGAAUAAUAAAGUUAUCCCAACUUGGAUAUUUUCUUUAGGGUCAAAAAAAAAUUUCAAAUUGUUUAAGAGCUUCCAACUUCUGUACUUUAAUACCACAUCUCUUCCUGAUGGAUUGAGUUGUGAAACAAGACUAAAAAUAAUAUGAUGGCAUAAUGCAAAAUGUACACCCUAACCCAAAGUAAAAGUAGUGUUGAGCCAUGAAAAACGUUAACCUUGUUAAAGCUAGUCUUGAAUCUAGAGCUUGGUCCCUUCCAUAUCUUUAUUUUAGGAUAUACUUUUAAAAACACUUUUAAGAAAGGAUUAGGAAAAAUGUACUUCAGAGAAAACACUUCCAAAUAUCUCCUGUGGAUUAAUCAUAAAAUAGGACAGUUCCUGAUUAGGAAAGUAUUAUGAGACAUAACAGAUUGUGUAGUAAUGACAACAAUGGUUUACACAGAAUGGCUCUGUUUAGGAAGAACGUGUGCAUAAAAUAAUGUGUACAUAAAAAAAUAUAAAAAUUAUUGUGGAGUGAACAGCAUUUCCAAGUAUCUUAGAUAUAUGUGGAUGUAUUCCAAAUGAUCCCUGAAAGUCUGAGUCUAUCAUAUCUUUGCUGUACAGCUUGUCCUUUCAGAAAUUCUUUAGGAUUUUUCUGAGACAGGGAUUCAGCCAUGAAAAGAAAGACAAGAAUUUGAUUUUUCAUUUAUUUCUUUUUAUGUUAUUCUGUUUUAAAGUAUUUUCUUCGGUACGCUUCUAGAGGAAUAUGUGGAAAGCAUCUCUGGGUAGGUCCUCGGAUUUCUUUUGUAUAUUCCCCAUGAAACCCUAUAAGAAUGUCUAAAGGAAGAAGAGAAUUAUGGCAAGCCCCAUGCACACGCAGGAGGGAGGCAUAUCCUUGCAGAGACUGGCUUGAGGUGGAAUGAGCACACCUAGGGUAAAGACCAGCAUCUUUACACAAGCACAAAUGAUCUAUGAAAUUGCAUCACUGGGUCAUGGAGUGCAAUGAUCUGCACGGCAUGUGGCAUUUAUCCUUGGCUCUUAUUGCUUGGUUCUUUUUGGUUAUCUGCUCCUGACAAUAGUCAGAAAGCACACACUUGACUAGCUGGCCUUUGGUCUGCUCCUCUCUGCCUGUAUGUUCCAUAUGGAUGAUAAUGACAAAUAACUGCUGAGCAGAAGUAUCAACAUCAUGGCUUGAAAAACAGAAACCUGAAAAACGCCAAAGUUCAAAGGGAAUGAAUGCUGAGAAGUUGCUUUUUUACAAGCAGUCUUACUUCUGACUCCUAUCUGGUAAUUACAGAUCCAACAGAAGACAGCAAAAUUCUCCAAUUAUUUAACUCACGUACCUCAGUGAAGUUGCAUUAGUUGUACCCUCUGUCCAACAUAAAACUCUAGAAACUUUCAAAAUUAAGACCCUAUAUUGGUGACUCUUCUGCCUGUAUGCAAAUUUGAGGUUUUUUUUGGAUUUGUAGAUCUAUCUUAAAUAGCUUAAAUAUUACAAUUAAAAGCAGGGAUUGCAUAGCUCAGUCUCUAUUUUUCACCUCUCCCUGAAGAAGUUUUAUGUACUCUCUUUUCUUGUUGUUUAAUACACCUGGGCAUAUCUGGGAUAACUCAAAUCAAGGGGGUUUAAGAUAGAGAAAUUAGAAUUACUGAGUUAGCUCAAGGGGUCUGCCAUUUAAAAACUGAGAAAUUCAGUAAUGCUUAUUUUUCAGUUGCAAUUCUGCAGCUUGUGUCUGUCACUUGUUUUCUUCUUCAAGAUACUUGGAAAUAUUAGAGGUCAUGAAGAAAUCUUGCUGCAGUAUUACAUGAAUUUUUACCUUAAGAAUACUGGAAACUAAAAAUCCUCAGUAUAUGAUAAUCUGCUUCUGUAUUAUGUCAACAC